CCCUUAGAUGUUCUGGGCCGCACGCGCGCUACACUGACGAUGGCAACGAGUUUUUCCUUCGCCGAAAGGUGUGGGUAAUCUUUUGAAACAUCGUCGUGCUGGGGAUAGAUCAUUGCAAUUUUUGAUCUUGAAUGAGGAAUUCCUAGUAAGCGCGAGUCAUCAGCUCGCGUUGAUUACGUCCCUGCCCUUUGUACACACCGCCCGUCGCUACUACCGAUUGAAUGGUUUAGUGAGGACUCCUGAUUGGCGCCGCCGCCCCGGCAACGGAGCAGCGGACUGCCGAAAAGUUGUUCAAACUUGAUCAUUUAGAGGAAGUAAAAGUCGUAACA
RNAcentral lists this ribosomal RNA (329 nucleotides) under uncultured eukaryote. RNAcentral's name for it is "partial 18S ribosomal RNA". It matches the Rfam family "Eukaryotic small subunit ribosomal RNA", at positions 1470 to 1796 of the family's 1831-position model. The record is from RNAcentral.